AGGGACUGAACCUUUGUCCUCGCGGAUACUUGUCAGGUUUGUUACCACUGAGCCACAAUGGAAACUCCACUUUUGUUUUUUUCUGCUUCCCUUCCUUCCUCGUUUUUUCGUUCUCUUUCUUUCUCUCUCUCUGCCUCCCUCCCUCCUUCUUUCCUUCCUUCCUUCUUUUCUUUCCCUUUCAUUCUCUCUUUCUCUCCCUCCCUCCCUUUUUCCUCCCUUUCUUUCUCGUUCCCUCUCUCUUUCUUUUUCUCUUUCUCUCCCUCCCUCCUUCCUUCCUCUCUUUCUCUCGUUUCCUCUUUCUUUCUCUUUUUUUUGUCACAGCAUGCAGCAGCUUAAUGUGAGAUCUCUGUUCCCAGACCAAGGAUUGAACCUGUGCCACAGCAGAGAAAGUGCCAAGUCCUAACCACUAUAUCAUCAGGAAACUCCCUAUAUACUGUUUUCUAAAAUGAGGUUUGUUGGUAUAAUUGGUCAAUUUUUCAUUUCUUUAAUGUAUUAAAAAUCACUGUUUUUCUCAUCUUACUUAUUGUACUAAUAAUUAUAGCUUCCAAUUAUAUCACUCUUUAAAUAUUUAACAGCAAAUAUCAUUAAGAAUUUUUCACUCAUAUCAUUUUCCAAUUAAAAUUUUUGUUGUUUUUGUUGGUACCCCUUAGAAUAAAUACAUAGAAGGAACCUAUCUAAAUAUUUUCUCAAAGACCUUAUAUUUAGUUAUCUUUCAUUUUAGAAUCAUGGUUCAAACAAAUGUUCUUAUCAGAAAUCUAGAUUAUUUUCUAUGCUAUUUAUAAUAAUAUGCCUCUCUGGUCUUUAAGCAAAGCUGCUUUGAAUCUUAUGCAUUCUUUUUUAUUAUGGCCUUUCUUAGAAAUUGUAGUAGUAUUUUUUUCUCUGAAAUUUUUCUAGUUUCAACAAUAUUUUUUCUUAAACUGUUCUAUAGCAUUCUAUUCUAAAUCUUAUUAUUUAAAAUAUUUGAUGGCCUUGUUGAACAAAAUUUAACGUUUUAUUGGUAAUAACAUAGUCAUACGUACAUGGCUGAUUUUUUGACUCCUUAGCUUUUUUUUUUUUUUUUUUUUUUUUGUCUUUUUGUAUUUUCUAGGAGGUUCCCAGGCUAGGGGUCUCUUUGGAGCCAUAGUUGCUGGCCUACGCCAGAGCCAUAGCAACUCAGGAUCCAAGCCACAUCUGCAACCUACACCACAGCUCAUGGCAAUGCCAGAUCCUGAACCCACUGAGAGGCCAGAGAUUGAACUCUCAAUCUCAUGGUUCCCAGUUGGAUUCGUUAACCACUGAGCCACGACGGGAACUCCCUUGACUCCUUAGCUUUAUAUUAAUAAUUCCCACUAUCAUUAUUAUCUGUUUGCUGCUGCUUUUGGACUCAGAGAGUUUCUGAUAAGGAUUGCAUGUUAAAUUAUUAAAUGUCAUUAAGCCUCUGUAUAAAAGGACUGAUCUUUUGGUGUUUGGAGACUUGAAAAAAAUAGUUAUGUCUAUUCUAUUUUAUAUUUUAUUACUCAAUGAAUUUAUUACAUUUAUACUUGUACAAUGAUACAGCAUUUCUAUCCCAACCCACCAGCAUCCCCCUACCCGCAACCGCUCUCCUUUGGAAACCAUAAGUUUUUCAAAGUCUGUGAGUUAGUAUCUGUUCUGUAAAGAAGUUCUUUGUGUCCUUUUUUCACAUUCCACAUGUCAGUGAAAGCAUUUGAUGUUGGUGUCUGACUGUCUGACUGACUUCACUUAGCAUGAUAAUUUCUAGGUCCAUCCAUGUUGCUAAAAAUGCUGGUAAUUCGUUCAUUUUAAUGGCUGAGUAAUAUUCCAUUUCGUAUAUGUACCACAUCUUAUUGAUCUGCUCCUCUGUCAAUGGACAUUUAGCUUGUUUCCGUGUCUUGGCUAUUGUAUAUAGUGCUGCAGUGAACAUUGAAGUACAUGUGCCUUUUCUCUCCACACCUUCUUCAGCACUUAUUGUUUGUAGACUUUUUGAUGAUGGCCAUUCUGGCUGGUGUAAGGUGGUACCCCUUAGUGGUUUUGAUGUGCAUUUCUCUCAUAAUGAGUGAUGUUGAACAUCUUUUCAUGUGUUUUUUGGCCAUCUGUAUUCUUCUUUGGAGAAUUGUCUGUUUAGAUCUUCUGCCCAUUCUUUGAUGGGGUUAUUUUUUGAUAUUGAGGUGUUUAUAAAUUUUGGAGAUGAAUCCCUCAUCAGUUGAUUCAUUUGCAAAGAUUUUUCUCCCAUUCUGUGGGUUGUCUUUUUGUUUUGUUUAGGGUUUCCUUUGCUGUGCAGAAACUUUUAAGUUUAAUUAGAUCCCUUUUUUUUAAUUUUUGUUUUUAUUGUCAUUCCUCUAAGAGGUGGGUCUGAGAAGAUGUUGUUGUGGUUUAGGUUGGCGAGUGUUUGGCCUAUGUUUUCCUCUAAGAGUUUUAUAGUAUCUGGUCUUAUAUCUAGGUCUUUAAUCCAUUUGGAAUUUAUUUUUGUGUAUGGUGUUAGGAAGUGUUCUAUAUCAUUCUUUUCCAUGUGACUGUCCAGUUUUCCCAGCACCAUUUAUUGAACAGGCUGUCUUUUCUACAUUGUAUAUUCUUGUCUCCUUUGUCAUAGAUUAGUUGGCUGUAGGUGCGUGGGUUUAAUUCUGGGCUUGCUGUCCUGUUCUACUGAUCUGUAUUUCUGUCUUUGCACCAGUACCAUAUGGUUUUGAUGACUGUUGCUUUGUAGUAUAGUCUCAUGUCAGGGAGCCUGAUUCCUCCAGCUCCAUUUUUCUUUUUCAGGAUGUCUGUGGCUAUUCUGGGUCUUUUGCACUUCCAAACAAACUUUGAAAUAUUUUGUUCGAGUUCUUUGAAAAAUGUCCUCGGUGCCUUGGUAGGGAUUGCAUUGAAUCUGUAGAUUGCCUUGGGUAGUAGAGUCAUUUUGAUAAUAUGGACUCUUCCAAUCCAAGAGCAUGGUAUGUCUUUCCAUCUAUUUGUGUCAUCUUUGAUUUCUUUCAUCAGUGUCUUCUAGUUUUCAGAGUACAGGUCUUUUGUCUCUUUAGGUAGGUUUACUCCUAGGUAUUUUAUUCUUUUGGAUGUGAUGGUAAAUGGGAUUGCUUCCUUAAUUUCUCUUUCUGCUCUUUCAUUGUUAGUGUAUAGAAAUGCUGCUGAUUUUGUGUAUUAAUUUUGUAUCCUGCGACUUUGCCAAAUUCAUGGAUGAGCUCUAACAGUUUUCUGGUAGAGUGUUUAGGAUUCUCUAGAUAGAGUAUCAUGUCGUCUGCAAAUAGUAUAGUUCUACUUCUUCCUUUCCAGUUUGGAUUCCUUUUAUUUCUUUUUCUUCUCUGAUUGCAGUGGCAGGGACUUCCAAAACCAUGUUGAAGGGUAGUGGCGAGACAUCCUUGUCUUAUUCCUGAUCUCAGCAAGAAUUCUUUCAGCUUUUCACCAUUGAGAAUGAUGUUAGCUGUGGGUUUGUCAUAUAUGGCUUUUAUUAUGUUGAGGUAGGUUCCCUCUAUGCCCACUUUCUGAAGGGUUUUUAUCAGAAACGGGUGUUGGACUUUGUCAAAGGCUUUUUCUGCGUUUAUUGAGAGGAUCGUAUGUUUUUUAUUCUUCAGUGUGUUAAUGUGGUGUACCACACUGAUUGAUUUGUGGAUAUUGAAGAGCCCUUGCAUCCCUGGGAUAAAUCCCACUUGAUCAUGAUGUACAAUCCUUUUAAUGUUUUGUUGGAUGUGAUUUGUUAGUAUUUUGUUUAGGAUUUUUGCAUCGCUGUUCAUCAGUGAAAUUGGCCUAUAGCUUUCUUUUUUUGUGGUAUCUUUGUCUGGUUUUGGUAUCAGGGUGAUGGUGGCCUCAUAGAAUGAGUUUGGGACUGUCUCUUCCUCUGUAAUUUUUUGGAAUAGUUUCAGAAGGAUAGGUUUUAGCUCUUCCGUAAAUGUUUGGUAGAAUUUGCCUGUGAAGCCAUCUCGUCUUAGACUUUUGUUUGUUGGAAUUUUUUUAAUCCCAGUUUCAAUUUCAGUACUUGUGAUUGCUCUAUUCUUUUCUAUUUCAUCCUGGUUUAGUCUUAAAAGAUUGUACUUUUCUAAGAAUUUGUCCAUUUCUUCUGGGUUUUCUGUUUUAUUGGUGUAUAGUUGAAUGCAAUAGUCUCUUAGGAUCCUUUGUAUUUCUGUGAUUUCCGUUGUUACUUCUCCUUUUUCAUUUCUAAUUUUAUUGGUUUGAGUCUUCUCUCUUUUUCUUGAUAAAUCUGCCUAAGUGUUAUCAAUUUUGUUGAUCUUUUCAAAGAACCAGAUUUUCGUUUCAUUGAUCUUUUCUGUGGUUCUCUUUGUUUCUAUUUCAUUGAUUUCUGCUCUGAUCUUUAUGAUUUCUUUUCUUCUACUAACUUUAGGUCUUGUCUGGUCUGUCUGAUUUCUUUAGCUGUAAAGUCAGGUUGUUUAUUUGAGCUUUUUCUUAUUUCCUGAAGUAGGCUUGUGUUGCUAUGAACUUUUAGAGGGCAUUUGCUGCAUCCCAUAGGUUUUGGAAUGUCGUAUCUUUGUUGUCAUUUGCUUCUAGGUAUUUUUUAAUUCCCUCUUUGAUCUCUUCAGUGAUCCAUUGGUUGUUUAGUAGCAUGUUGUUUAGUCUCCACAUGUUUGUGUUUUUUGCAGAUUUUUUCUUGUAGUUGAUUUCCAGUUGUAUAGCAUUGUGGCUGGAGAAGAUGCCUGAUAGGAUUUCAAUUUUCUUAAAGUUACCAAGGCUUGUGUUGUAGCGCAGGAUGUGAUCAAUUUUAGAGAGUGUUCCAUGUGCACUUGAGAAGAAUGCGUAUUCUGUUGCUUUUGGAUGGAUUGUCCUAUUUAUUUAGUCCAUCUGGUUUAAUGCUUCAUUCAGGCCUGUGUUUCCUUAUUGAUUUUCUAUCUGGAUGAUCUGUCCGUUGCUGUAAGUGGAGUGUUAGAGUCCCCCACUAUUAUUGUGGUAUUGUUGAUUUGUCCUUUUAAGGUUGUUAGCAGUUGCUUUAUAUAUUGUGGUGAUCCUAUGUUAUGUAUGUAUAUUUAAAAUUGUUAUAUCUUCUUCAUGGAUUGAUCCUUUGAUCUUUAUAUAGUGACCGUUCUUGUCUCUUAAAACGUUCUUCAAUUUAAGUUCUGUUUUGUCUGAUACGAGUUUUGCUAUUCCAGCUUUCUUUUGAUCCCCGUUUGCAUGGAAUAUUUUCUUCCAUCUUCUCAUUUUCAAUUUGUAUGUGUCCCUAGAAGUAAAGUGGGCCUCUUGAAGACAGCAUAUAUAUGUAUCUUGUUUUUGUAUCCAUUCAGCCAUUUUAUGUCUUUUGGUUGGGGUGUUUAGUCCAUUAAUAGUUAAAGUAAUUAUUGAUAUAAUAAUUAUUAUUGCCAUUUUAUUAAUUGUUUUUGUUGCUUUUUUUUCCUUUCGUUCUUCUGUUAUUCUCUCUUCUUGUGUUUUUUUGUUUGUUUGUUUCUUUGUUUGUUUGUUUUUGUCUUUUUGCCAUUUCU
RNAcentral lists this long non-coding RNA (5393 nucleotides) under Sus scrofa (pig). RNAcentral describes it as "lncRNA (ENSSSCG00000058859.1)". The record is from RNAcentral. Lineage: Eukaryota; Metazoa; Chordata; Mammalia; Artiodactyla; Suidae.